RNAcentral lists this ribosomal RNA (501 nucleotides) under uncultured bacterium. Its description in RNAcentral is "bacterial SSU rRNA". It matches the Rfam family "Bacterial small subunit ribosomal RNA", at positions 24 to 518 of the family's 1533-position model. The record is from RNAcentral.
UCAGGAUGAACGCUAGCGACAGGCUAACACACGCAAGUCAGGGGCAGGCAUAAAAGUAGCAAUACUUGGUGGCGACCGGCGCACGGGUGAGUAACACGUAUGCAACCUGCCUGUAAGCGGGGAAUAACCCGUUGAAAGACGGACUAAUACCGCAUAAUACUAAAUUACUGCAUGGUAAUUUAUUUAAACAUUUAUGGCUUACAGAUGGGCAUGCGCAUGAUUAGCUAGUUGGAGAGGUAACGGCUCCCCAAGGCAACGAUCAUUAGGGGUUCUGAGAGGAAGGUCCCCCACACUGGUACUGAGACACGGACCAGACUCCUACGGGAGGCAGCAGUGAGGAAUAUUGGUCAAUGGACGAGAGUCUGAACCAGCCAAGUCGCGUGCAGGAAGAAUGUCCCUAUGGAUUGUAAACUGCUUUUGCAGGGGAAUAAAGUGCAUCACGUGUGAUGUUUUGUAUGUACUCUGCGAAUAAGGAUCGGCUAACUCCGUGCCAGCCGCUGC